AUCUUGAUAGCUUAUAAUUUUAGAGCAUAGCACUGAAGAUGCUAGGGAAGCGAACCACGCUUCAGGAUAU
Molecule: transfer RNA, 70 nt
Filed under: Euspira pila
Lineage: Eukaryota; Metazoa; Mollusca; Gastropoda; Littorinimorpha; Naticidae
Description: tRNA-Phe
Source: RNAcentral